Arachis ipaensis is the source of this 340-nucleotide non-coding RNA. The record is from RefSeq and is a predicted model, not a curated record. NCBI's taxonomy places the organism in Eukaryota, Viridiplantae, Streptophyta, Magnoliopsida, Fabales, Fabaceae.
AUCUAUAGAUUUCCGUUUGGUUUUGAAAUUUGGGUGUUUAGAGUUCCAAUUUUAGGGUUUUUAAUUUGGGGGGUUUGAUACAAUAAUAUGGUUUAUAUGCAACUGUGAAUUGUGAAUUGAUGAACAAGCCAUGUAUUGUUGAUGAACAUGCAGGGUUCAACUUGAAUACCCCUUUUUUUCCUAAUUCUCGCCAAAUCCCGUUACCCAGUUUCCGUACGCACCUGCUACCCUCUACGGUGUUGGAGUUCCUUCAAGCUGAGCUCGAGCUUCAAAGGGAAGAGAGGAAUUGCUUGUAGUGUUACUGAGCCACAUUCAGAUCCUGAGGGUGACAAUGAGGAGG